GGGGGGAGGCCGGAUCCUGAGCUGUGUCCCGGCGCCCUGUGCUCCGGGGCCUGCCUGCACUGUUGGAUUCGCACUCCCUGGUGCAGCGCCCU
Molecule: microRNA precursor, 92 nt
Filed under: Canis lupus familiaris (dog)
Lineage: Eukaryota; Metazoa; Chordata; Mammalia; Carnivora; Canidae
Also listed under: 1 other name
Description: mir-8799 microRNA precursor family
Rfam family: mir-8799 microRNA precursor family
Source: Rfam by way of RNAcentral